Molecule: long non-coding RNA, 809 nt
Filed under: Mus musculus (house mouse)
Lineage: Eukaryota; Metazoa; Chordata; Mammalia; Rodentia; Muridae
Description: predicted gene, 40663
Source: RNAcentral
GUCGUGGAGGUGAUUCCUUAGCUGGCCUAAAGGAAAUUGUCAAAUUUUAAUUUUAGCAUCAAGAAUAACAACUUCAAGGUGGGUUGAAGGAGCCACUUAUUAACUUUGUCUUUUCAAUUCUCCACAGAUGAGAAGGAAAACCUGUGAAGAAUCCUCGUUUGCCCUCUUCUGACUUAGGCUCUGGCAAAACCUCUCAGGAGACAGCUAUAUCAGGCUCCUAUCUGCAACCACUUCUUGGCAUCCAUAAUAGUGUCUGAGUUUGGUGUCUAUAUAUGGGAUGGAUCUCCAGGUACUAAAGGCAUAACAAGACUGAGAAAAUGACUUGCCAUGUCUUCUGUAAAGCUGAGAUCUUGGUGGUAGGCAGAUGAUCAAGAAUCAACAGUGAAAAAAAAUCAGUGAAUGUAAAAUCAAUCAAUUGCUCUGAAUAAAAAAAUAUUUCUAGACAUCACACAGUGUAGGUGGGCAGAAGACACUCAGAGGCAGAUGGAAGACCCUGGAGGCCAGCCCACUACCAUGCUACCAUUGUUUGGAAUCACCUAGAGACCUGCCAGAUGUGUGGGCCACUCACAGCAGGAGCCACAAAGAUGUGUGAGUCUGUAGUGGAGAAAUGAGAGAGAAAGAGUAACAGAAUGAUUUGAACACUAUGAAGAAAGGCAGAACUGGAGAAUCAAAGAUGGAGAGGAACAGCUUGAUGUGAAUAGCCUUCCCUGCCUCCUGAGGCAAUGAUGGAGUACUAUCCUGUGUUGACAUUGAGCAUCAUGUCUGGGUCUGUGGCCAUGCAGCAGCAGGGGUAUGUGUUGAUGUCUGUG